Molecule: non-coding RNA, 2794 nt
Organism: Vicugna pacos (alpaca)
Lineage: Eukaryota; Metazoa; Chordata; Mammalia; Artiodactyla; Camelidae
Source: RefSeq, a predicted model, not a curated record
CACCCAGCUAGCUCGUUAAAGGAGAAUCACCUUAUGAUUCUCUUGAAAGACACAGAAAGGCACUUCAUAAAAUCCAGUGUUUAUGAAUUUAAAAGCUCUUUGUAGAAUACCAACAGACGAAAACUUUCUUAACCCGAAAGGUUCCUUACCAGAAACGUGAUUCUUAAAGGUGAAGUGAGAGGGGCUCCGUCUGUGACCUUGUCUGCAAAAUCCCGUGUGGAUUAACUGUGCAAGGUAAAGUCUUCAACUUCUGAGUACGGUGACAUAACCACCUCCGUGGUGGGGAACAAUUGUUUAAGGCAACUAAACAAGUGUGAAACACUAGCCGUAAAAGUAGACAUUGAUUAAUCUAAUUUCAUUAAAAUACGAACAUCUGUUCCUCAGAAGACAACACAAAACUGUGAAAAACAGUCAUAAACUGAGGGUUGUCAGUGACACACGGCCAACAAGAGAAAGUAUGGAAGGUACAAAAGGCACCAAUAAGAAAAAGGCAUGUGACUGGACCAAAAUUUAAAGGCUGAAUUCAUUCUUUGGUUGGUUAUGCUAGAUUCAGAGGGGUUUUUUCAGGUUUUUCUUUCUAUCAUAAUGUUUUGUAACUUACAUGUGCUAUUUUAUGUGUAGCAAACCCAGAGGAAAUCUAAUAAUUCACAUAAACUAAGAGUUAAUGUGGGCUUCAGGUUCAGCGUGAACCAGAAGAUUAGUGAUGUCACCAAAGGUGUGUUUCUUUGGGAUUUCUUCCCUGUGACUUUGGGGGGUGGGGAGUUCACCCUCAGUCUGGCUUCCCUCUUGGUCACAAGGUGGCGUCCAGAAGCUCUCAGCCUGGUUUCUCUGUCCUCAGCCCUGGAGAGAGGGGAAUCCAGGCUCCAACAUCCCUGGUUGGGUCCCCCCGGGACAGCCACUCUUACCUGAAACAGGCCUGUGGCCAGAAGGGUGGAAGGGCCUCACCGCCCGGCACAGACCACCGGCCCUCCGCCUGAGGCUGCGAGCUGCUUCUCUGGGAAACUCAGCUCUUCAGGAUUGGGCGCCAGAAGGGAGGAGCGCGGCCCCGGGGAAGGAGGCAGAACGGUGAGCCGUCCAGGCCGCCCGGAACCACGGGAAACCCAGCCUGGCUCUGCUGGGUGGAGAAGGUGGCGCUGGGGGGCUGUGGAAGCAAACCAAGGACUGGAGGGUGUCCCCAGCGAGGGCGUGCGGCCUCCCGGGCUGACUCUGCUCCGCCGGCUCGAGAGGUGGCGCUCCCACAGCUCCGCCUGCCGCGGGCUCCGUGGAGGAGUCCCGUGCGCACCUGAAGCUACUGCGGACCGGAGCAAGGAUGGGCGCUGGGCUUGCCAGAAGCCAGCGAGCGGGUUCGCACCGUGCAGAGCCUGGCCUGCACCCGCGCCCGAGGUGACAGCGGCGGGGAGACCCCGCCCUCACCCUCCAGCUUCCCGCCCCGCCUCCCUAGGGCUCCUCUUGCACAGUUCCCCUCAAGACCAGUUUUGCAAGACGCAUAGGCCGUCUGAAGCCCACACCUGCCCGCCAGCGCCAGCCACUGCCCCGCCACUCUCAUCGCCCAGUGCUGGAAGGGUGGCGCGCACCAGGCCUCUCCUCCCGGACCUCGCAGGCCGCACCUCGCGUGACGGUCGGGACGCCCACGGACGCGGCGUGUCCUCAGUUCGCAGGUUUGGAAGCUGAGCGCCCAGUGCAGCAACGCAGCGGGAUCGCGUUCACAGCACCCGAGUCGCCGCUGGGCGCACGGGGACACUGCAGCGCUGCGGGAUUAAGGCGGCGGCCGCACUUGGAGUGAGGUCCCAUCGAUGCAAAGCUCUCCGACCGCCCCUCCUGCCGGCUCCCGCCUGCUGCUGCGCCUGUCCACUGGUACACUUUUCCCCAGCUUUGACUUUGGGGUCCAGGCUGGCCCAGGGCCUAGGCCAUCGGAGCAGCUGCACUGGGGUGUGAGGGCCUCCGGGAGCACCUGGUCCAGGCCACGCUCUCCAGUGUCUUUGGGGCAAACACAAACCCUGGAAGGAAGGGAGGGGCCACCAUGGCGAGGGGAGAAGCUUGCAGCCUGGGGCAGGGCCGGCUGGGAGCCCCCCAGGGCCACUCGGAGGGCAGCCCCCACCCCUCACCAGAAGGAGAGACUCCAGCGAGCACAUUUUAAACGAGGAUGUUUAUCAAAGGUGGAAAAGAGAAACUCAUUGUGUGACAUGGACGAUGUUCCCAUCCCCGAUUCUUAGGCAGAAUCCUCUCUGAGCAGCCAUUAAACAAAAACUUUCAUCUGUUCACCACGGGUGACUCCGGGGUGCGAGUGCGUGGUUUUGCACAGGAACUGACAAGCCAGCAGCCCACCACUCGGCCUGUUUCACAGCCUGAAUCCCUCAACAUGAUGUGCCCUUUGUUUUUAACUGGCUUAAGAGAAAGGAGUUGACAACCUGCAAGGCGGAGACUAGACGGACCUUCGAGGUGGGGACAGACCCUCGGGGGGGCGAGGAUGAGUGGGCCUGCUGUCGGGCCGCUGCCACCAAGUGCACGGGCCGUCCAGUGUGGCUCUCAGCCUCUGGAUGACAGGCCCGAGGAGCCACUCAGCCACUGUGUCGGGAACAACCCAGCUCCCUGGACCUGGAUUUCCGUGGGGACGUUGGCGCGGGGCCCUGCGCGCUCCCCCAGCCGGCACGGGGUGCAGAGCUGCAGCAGGAACGCCCAGUAGGCCGGGCUGCCGCCUGCACCCAGCCCCGCCUCCCCUCAGCCUGGCGGUGCCGCCCCCGCCCCCUUGGGGAGGUUUAGUGAAACUCUGAUCCCAAAAUCAGCCAAACCCCCC